This is a long non-coding RNA of Cervus hanglu yarkandensis (Yarkand deer), 1192 nucleotides long. Lineage: Eukaryota; Metazoa; Chordata; Mammalia; Artiodactyla; Cervidae. The record is from Ensembl.
AUUUGCUUCUCAGUCCCAGAAGCCCAAGUUCUAUGUUGCACAGAAAUCUGGCUCCAUUGUGCCUAGGUGGCCUGGUAGAAAGGGUUUUUUUCCUUCUUCUUCUUUUUUUUUUUUUUUGGUACCUUUUCUGCUAAGAAACGGCAAUGUGCUCUGCCUGCCUAACCCAGCCGCAGCCUGUCGUUCCCUAGACAAAAAGCGGUGGCCCGCUGCUCCCUGCAGCGGCCGCGGCCGCGACUCGGGGAGGCCGAGCCACCCGGACCCACGGGGUUACGUUUUCGUUGGGCCGGCUACAGAUGGUGCCCCAGCACCGCGCUGAGUCGGGGGUGGUGUGGGGGGGCAGGAGGACCGGAGGGGGAGGCCGGGAAGGGGGUCGGGCGGGAGGGGCGGAGACCGUGGAGCAGCCAAUGGGCGUGCAGCCCAUCAGCUGACCGCUUUUGCUUACACCAGGUGCACGCCGGCUGCGGGGAGCACAAAGCGGGGCGCACCGAGGGCGCCGGCAGCUAGCCGGCGAGCUAAGCGAGGCCCGUGCGCCCGCGCCUGCAGCGCCCUCCGGGCGGGGAGAGGGGCCGCCGGCGUCAGCGCGGGCAGCAGCAUCCGCGCGGUGGCAUCCCUAGGCGCUCCGGACGCCCUCCUUUGGACCUGGACACUCGCUGCCCCGCUGUCGGCAUCCCGCUUCCAUCCUUUACCCCAAUCCUGCCUGCCUCUGCCCGGCCCCGAGAGCCGGAUUGAGCCCAGGCCCGCGCAGCAGCUGUUGCUCGUGUUACUGCCUCGCUUCGCGUCUUGGUGCUCUGCCGCGAGCCCCCUAAGGAGCCAGUGCCUGUGGGUUUGGAGGGAGGUGCGGCUCAGCCGGUCCUCCUUCUCCUCUCCCUCCUGCUGCCGCCUCCGGUGCCCGGUCCGUGCGCACCCCGACACCCCUGCCAGCCGGGCCUCGGGGCACAUCUCCAGACUCUGAUUGGGCUGAAAUAACUUAUGCCAUAGAGCUGUGCAUAUGCCUGGAAUUGAGAGACACAGGUAAAGAGACUCCAGAUUGCGUCCUGCCUUCUGAAACGCCAGGAAAUCAUCCCUUCAGACUCUGGAAUUCUACAGCUUUCAACAGAGACUUUGCUUAAAUGUUUACAUUUUUUGCUUGCUGUCUUUCAUACCACUAUAUAGUGCUCGUGUUUUGUUAAAACUUAACAAUUGUCAGGAGUUC